RNAcentral lists this transfer RNA (74 nucleotides) under Streptomyces smyrnaeus. RNAcentral's name for it is "tRNA-OTHER". The record is from RNAcentral. Lineage: Bacteria; Bacillati; Actinomycetota; Actinomycetes; Kitasatosporales; Streptomycetaceae. RNAcentral also lists the same sequence under 3 other names.
AUCGCCGUUCAUCGUCCGGCAACCGGGGCGGUGACGACCUCGAGACGCCGGUUCGAACCCGGCCGGCGGUUCCA